GGUUCUCCCCGAAAGCUAUUUAGGUAGCGCCUCGUGAAUUCAUCUCCGGGGGUAGAGCACUGUUUCGGCUAGGGGGCCAUCCCGGCUUACCAACCCGAUGCAAACUGCGAAUACCGGAGAAUGUUAUCACGGGAGACACACGGCGGGUGCUAACGUCCGUCGUGAAGAGGGAAACAACCCAGACCGCCAGCUAAGGUCCCAAAGUCAUGGUUAAGUGGGAAACGAUGUGGGAAGGCCCAGACAGCCAGGAUGUUGGCUUAGAAGCAGCCAUCAUUUAAAGAAAGCGUAAUAGCUCACUGGUCGAGUCGGCCUGCGCGGAAGAUGUAACGGGGCUAAACCAUGCACCGAAGCUGCGGCAGCGAACGUAUCACCCAAGACAACUUUGCGGAGUUGACGAUUGACGGAGCGAAGCGACGUCAAAGCGUUCAUUAAAGUCGAGUUGGCUUAGGGAUACGUUCGUU
This 461-nucleotide ribosomal RNA is filed under the name Salmonella enterica subsp. enterica serovar Indiana. Its description in RNAcentral is "partial 23S ribosomal RNA". The stretch from base 10 to 393 matches the Rfam family "Bacterial large subunit ribosomal RNA", at positions 860 to 1231 of the family's 2925-position model. The record is from RNAcentral. Lineage: Bacteria; Pseudomonadati; Pseudomonadota; Gammaproteobacteria; Enterobacterales; Enterobacteriaceae.